AGCUGAGUAUUCCUGCUGCUCCCCUCCCCAGAGUGGAUCCUCGGGGACAACCAGCUUCCCCUUCAAAGUCUUGCACAGGUAACUGCUUGGCUGUGAAUAUAGAAGAGAUGAUGAAGGCAGAUUCUUGCAUCUCUAUCUAGACUCACCACGAAUGGGUUGCUUUCAGAAACCAACUGACACAGCUAAUCAAAUAAUUCUCUGCCAGACGGCAGGGAGAAAGCAUGGCCCCUGGGAGAAAUGAUGGUGCUGUCACCAAAGGCUGGACUGGUCAGGACCAGUUUGGAUUAAAGCCAGAUACUCUCAAGCACCAUCCUGGAGGCUGGAUCCUUCGUUCUAAGCCUUUUUCCUGGAAAGUAUUAUUGUUAAAAACAAGACAACACAGUCCCCAAAUGGAGUUGCUUAUGCUAAGCCCUACAUCACCAAGCUGAGAUUCAAUUUCACCACAGUUUCAGCCCUCCCGGAAGUGGAAUCUUAACGUAAUCAGGGAUCACCUGCUCAGCACUAGUGAGGCCAUCGCUGAUAGACCCUCACCAGCCCCUGGAGGAAAGUGACGUUGCCAUGACCAAUCCUAGUUUGUCUAGUAUAACUUCCUUGUUCUGCUCCCUUCUGCCUAUAAAAGUCUUUCAUUUCGUACAGAGCCU
Long non-coding RNA from Balaenoptera ricei (Rice's whale), 641 nucleotides. RefSeq lists it as uncharacterized. The record is from RefSeq and is a predicted model, not a curated record. The transcript is spliced from 4 exons. Lineage: Eukaryota; Metazoa; Chordata; Mammalia; Artiodactyla; Balaenopteridae.